CUUGCUUCCUGAUUCUGCUUUCCCUGGGCCCCUUUUUCUAGCUGUUUGCAGACACCCUGCCUAGCCUUCCUGGAUGGAGUUUAAAGUUUGACUUUCUUUCAUUCCAGGAAGUCCAACUUGCCUGGCAGGAUUGGGAGGAAAAGGCACUUUCUUUAUAAGCUCUCGUUGAAAGCUGUAAAGCAAGCCGGUCAAGGGUCUGGCCGGCCCUGGCUCAGGAUUAAGGCCAGCCCUGGAAUGCUGAGGGGGCCUCUCUCAAGAAGCCAGUAUCUAUUUACAGUGUACGUCUCAUAAACCCGAAAGCCAGGGUGAGGGCAGGGGGACUCGCCCUCCUGGCAUGUGAUUGAUUAUCUGGUAUUUAUGCCAUUGAGGACUUGUCAGCGGUCUGGGGUCACAGGGUCAUCUCGUGUGUCUUGCCGCCAUCCCGCCCCCUUUUGUACAGUGUGGGCCGGGGUGCACUGGGCACAAAACAGCUUUUUCUUUUUCUUGGGAAAAGGGGGAGGGGGGGCUGGGGCAGUGUCAAUGAAAAAAUGUUUUCAACGUUUCUGAAUAGUGCUCUUUUAAUUCUAAAGAACAUUUAAUUAAAAGUAGCAGGAAAAUUCAUCUUAGAGGGUUUAACUUACCUUAACAGAUACUAUUGUGUCCAAAGAAGCUGAGUGACC
RNAcentral lists this long non-coding RNA (659 nucleotides) under Rattus norvegicus (Norway rat). RNAcentral's name for it is "long non-coding RNA NONRATT028522". The record is from RNAcentral. Lineage: Eukaryota; Metazoa; Chordata; Mammalia; Rodentia; Muridae.